AACCGUGCCGCGGAGGCCUUGAGAGGCCACACGCCCUAUGUUGGUCUGCGAGAAAUCAAACUUCGAACAGGACAAGCCCGAAGCCCGCUUCUCCGGGAGACGGGGUGCCACAAUUGCAAGGUACUUCUGGCCAUCCUGCUUGUCAGCACAUUGGGAAAACUGGGUGCUGGAGACUCGGAAACCACCGUGCAGACCUCGAGUCCUUCCCAGGCCCAGCCAACAGGGUGGUGAAUUGAAGAGAAACAUCAUCUUCUGCCUCCUGAAGGACCAGAACAGAACCUAGAAGUCAUGCACCAGUGAGGCUGCAGGUGCAGCCCACAACAAGGCCGUAACGUGGGGCGCUCCCUGAUACUGCCCUUUUUUUCUGGAGGCUGGGGCUUACCCGGCCGAGGUCGCCCUUUAGGACAAGGAAUCAGAGCUUUGCUGGCUGCCUUACCUUGCUGGGGCAGAGCCAGAGGGAAUCGCUGCUGAAGCUGUCCUGUGGGCUGCUGUGCCUGCCCCUUUAGUGACCCCACGGAAACACCUCCGCAACAAGUAAUCCACAGUGUCCUGCUUGCCAGCCUAGGCUUCCUCAUCACCUGCUGUUUCCGAAGAGAACAAUCUACACUGGAAUGACCAAGCUCUAGAAACAGGAGGAUGCAAAGAAUCUGUGGAAAGUCUGUUUGUCAUCUGGAUUCUUAGAAGAUACACAUUUUCCCUUCUUGUUAUAUUCAGUAGUGCAUGAAGCAGAUAUUACAGUAGAUGUGCAAUUCACACUAAAGUUGAUAGAAGGGUAAAGUCGUAUUCUAAGGUACUUUGUGGUCUCAAAUUUGUUCCCAACCCCAUGAUGCCCUUAAAAGCUGGACAGUUAUCAUUGAGAGUGGAGGUAGAAAGAAACUAGCUAGUCAGAUACAGCACAGUCCUCGGCAGAACGUCCCUUCUAAAGAAAAGCAGCCCAAGAAAUCACUUCUCUUUAACAAAGAGCAACCUGGAAGAUGGGGCUGCAAUCAUAGAUAAGGAAGCUAGAAGCUUAUAUGAGAGGGUAUGACUGCAGCUGCACCAAAAGAAGGGACCACCUCAGGCCAGACACAUUCAACAUGGGGGGCUCCACCCAACUUUUUUGCACAUGCACAGUAGGAAAGAGAUAAGCAACUUGGAGUAGCUCAGGCUAAGAACCCGCCUGCAUAAUAAAAGGUUGGAGUGUGGGCUGCCAGAGAUUCGUGUUCUAUGGAGAUGACACACCUGGUCCUAACCAUUUUUUCAUGCCCUAUGUGGAUAAGACACUCCCUUCCACUAGCUCAUGUAUAAAAACCAUUGCAUUUCACUCCUGAAAGUCAAGAGUUUUUGAGGAUCCCUCUCUGCAGUGGAGAGUUGUUCUCUUUCUUUCACCUAUUAAACCUCUCCUCCAACAUCACCCUUGGUGUGUCUGCAUUCUUGAUUUCCUCAAUCAUGAGACCAGGCAUCACCCCAUAUGAUAAGGCCACUUGAUCAUGACUUGUCUCUUUGCUCCUUGGGACAUGGAACCUUCAAUGAAAGUGUGUCCAAAAGGACAUUUCAUAAAGUGCUCUCACUUCCAAUCUUCAAGCAAUGUGGGAAACUAUCCAUGUGUAAAAAACUUUUGGCUGAAAUGCACAAUUUCUAAUACAAAAUGAGUCCCAUAAAUUAUGUGUGUGUGUUAUGGCCAUUGGGAUAUCAUCACAUAUUGCCACAUUUAGUAAGAGGGACCCGUGAACUUCUGGCUAAGAAACUUAAGUUCUACAUACUGUCAUCUAUGAAAGAUAGUUCUUCCUGCAUUUCUCCAAACCAAUCUUGAAAUGUGUAUCUUGUAUAAAAUUUCUAUAUAAUCCCAGUGAGUUUCACCCUUCUGGCCCCACCCUCACUGCACUGGUACCAAUGGAAUUGCAUUUGCUCAUGCUUCCCCCUUGAGGUCAUAAACAUUUAGCGACAGAAUGGACCCAGAAGGCACUAAAGCAAGAGCUGAAGCCUUCUGAGUAGGUGAGUAGACAUGGCCUGCAGCCUGGACAUCUUCACAAUAAAUAGGUUGUAGGUCAAGUUAGAAAAAAAAUGGAAAUUAUUCUUUUUCUUUGAACACCACAAAGAGAAAUGCACAGGAUCUAGACGUGUCUGUGAAGCUAGAUUUGUCCUGGGAAAGUGACAAGGGCUGAGCAGGAGCCCUGGUGAUAGAGGGUGGGUGAGAUGCAGUCCUUACGGAGAGAUCACUAGGGUCAGGGCUUGGCACACUGACGCUGGCAGGGGCCUUCUGAAGAGCAAGGGGGAUGGCCCAGGACACAAGCCUGAAGUGACCUGUCUGAGCCAAACAUCUGUUUAGGUCCACCUGAAUCUCAGCAGCCUUGUCAAGGCAGGUGAGAUCAGCCCUGGGUAUCAGUGACAGUGGAGGCCGGCAGCUGGUGGGUGGGGAACACGCGUGAACUAAAGGGAGUGGAUAAAGAAAGAGACUUCUGUGUGCGAAUCUUUCUUGGUGGAUCAAUAGGGAGGUGAAGUCUUUGGCAUACCCUCAAACCCAGCUUGUGAGAUUGCAAUCCCAGUGAAGUUGGGACAAGUUGGCACUGCUCGACCAGGCCACCCAAUACACCAUGUCCCUUUUCCACCACAGCUGGCCCUGGAUGGGGGUGUGGACUCCCAUAGAGUCUAGAGGAUGGGACCCUAACCAGUAGUGGUGCUGGUGUGUGGCAUGAAGGGAGCUAGGGGAGGCCCUCCAGGUGGGAGGAGGAGCCAGCCUCUCUUGUGGGACCCUGGGCAAGUCACUGCCAUCUUUGGGCCACCGUUUCCUCAUCUGGAGAAUGCAGGAAGUCUGUUGUGCAGGCCUUUCAGGGUCAUGAUAAGGUGCAACGGAGGAAGGAAAUUUGAGAGUUCUUGUGCCUACCUCUUCCUGAGAGGGAUGAUGGUGAGAACAGUGGUGAUAGCCACAUGCAACUGGGUCCUCAGGAGGCCCUACGAGGAAGGUGUUCCCACCACAUUGAAAUGCCUAACCUUGUUUUUACUCUAACUGGCUACUUUGAAUUUUAUCCUGUUUGGCUCUUUAAUCACCUAGCCUUGCUUCUCAUGUAAAUAAGACUCUCUCUAGCUGGGAAAGCUGGUCGAACUCCAAUUGACCCCUUAAUUUACAAGACACUAAGGGCUCCUUACCCAACCCCCUUCCGCAAGGAGUUGACCUGUGUUAAGCAGAUCCUCAGCAUUUCAAAGGAGCCCAAUUAACUGAUAAGGUACUGGCACCAACAGUGUAUGAAGUUCCCAGGAUUUUUCUCAAAGGGACAACAACAUAAAACCUUGAGUUCUUGUCCGGCAUAGCACCUAUAUCUAAUUAUAAUGAAGGAUUUAGAGCCCUGCACCUGGUACUGUUGCUCUUUUUGUAACCAUUUGUCUUUUAAAUUGUUUAUCUCUUUGUAACCGUUUGUUUUUUUGAUACUUGCAUGUUUUUACUUCUAUAGAAUUAUUGCAUUUGAGUUCCCCUCACCUUCCUAAACCUAGGUAUAAAAGUUAAUCAAGCUCCUUCCUUGGGGCGGAGAAAAUUUUGAGCGUUAGCCAUCUCUUUGGCCGCCGGCUUAAUAAAGGACUCUUAAUUCAUCUCAGAGUGUGGC
RNAcentral lists this long non-coding RNA (3578 nucleotides) under Homo sapiens (human). Its description in RNAcentral is "HSALNT0385517". The record is from RNAcentral. Lineage: Eukaryota; Metazoa; Chordata; Mammalia; Primates; Hominidae.